Molecule: ribosomal RNA, 271 nt
Filed under: Boophis elenae
Lineage: Eukaryota; Metazoa; Chordata; Amphibia; Anura; Mantellidae
Description: partial 16S ribosomal RNA
Rfam family: Archaeal large subunit ribosomal RNA
Source: RNAcentral
CGGUACCCUAACCGUGCAAAGGUAGCACAAUCACUUGUUCUUUAAAUGAGGACUAGAAUCAACGGCAUCACGAGGAUCCCACUGUCUCCCCCCUCCAAUCAGUGAAACUGAUCUCCCCGUGAAGAAGCGGGGAUACAAAUAUAAGACGAGAAGACCCCAUGGAGCUUUAAACCCAACAGCACCCGUUUAUUUUCAUCCUCACAUAAGUUAGGUUAUGCCUGUUUGGUUUUAGGUUGGGGUGACCACGGAGUAUAAAACAACCUCCAUGAAA